AUGUUAGAAGACGAAGGGGAUUAUGAGGAGGAAGAGGAAGAUGAGGUGCUUGCUCUUGAAGAGGAGGAGGAAGAAGAAGAAGAAUAUGGGGAUGAAGAGGAAGAAGAGGUAGAAGAAAGUGAUGAGGAGAUCGUAGAGGAGGAAGAAGAGGAGGAGGAAUUAGCAAAGGAAGCAGUGGUGGAGGAAAAGAGAAAAGAGGAGGCUGAAAAAAAGGAGAAUGAGGAAGCUGAUGCUCAUAAUGAGGAAGAAAAAGAAGAUGAAGAGGAGGAAGCAGCAGCAGAAGUUGUGCAGAAGGAGGAGGACAAAGAAAAGGAGGAAGAGGAGGCUGAUGCAGAUGAAGAAAAUGAAGAUGAAAAGAAGGGAGUAGCAGCAGAAGCUGUGCAGAAGGAGGAGGAAACAGAACAAGAAGAAGAGGAAGCUGAUGCUGAGCAGGAAGAAGAACAUGAAGAGGAAGCUGCUGCUCCUGCUGUCAAGAAGAAAGAUACUUCGAUCUCUGCUGAUUCUGAUGAGGAGAAAGAAGAAACUUCAGAACAAGUCACUUCUAAAGAAACCGAGAAAAGAAAAAAAGAUACUCCUGCUGAUGAUAAAGAUGAUGACCAAAAAGAUGACCAAAGCGAGGAAAAAGAUGUUGACGAUGAGGCCCAAGAGGCUGAUAUCGCCAUAGCUGUUGGUAUUAUAGCUGAUGCUGGUGCUACAGUCGCUGAUGUUGAAGUGCAAGAAACUGGUGAGGAAUCUAUACUUCUUAAAGCUGAUGGCGAUUCAAAGCUAUUAACAACCAUAGAGGAGAGUGCUGCUAAAGCUGAUAAUGCAGUGGCUGAUUUAGCUGACUCACAAGAUGGCUUAAGCGCUACUGAUGACCAUGAUGAUAAGAUGAUAAAAGAGCUAGCUGACGAUCAUGGUGAGGUUACAGAAGACGGUCUUGAAGAUGAGACUGGUAAUGGACUGAUAGACGCUGACUCUGAGAAAGAUAUAACACGUGAAGUUGAGGGUGUUUUUGAGGAGCCUGAGCUAGCCGAUGAUGUUGCAGAUAAGGAGGAGCAGGAGCAAGAGGGAAAAGAGGAGGGAGAGGAACAGAUAAGGGUUGAGGAUGAUGAUGAUGAUGAUGCUGCUGCUGCUGAUGAUGAUGAUAUUAUAGUAACAGCACCUGUAGUUAGUUCUGACGCAGGUGGAGAUGAGACAACAGUGGUGGCUGAUGAAGAUGGUGACUCUUCACCUGAAAAAGACAUAACAACCCUGAAAGAAGAGGAGAAAGAUGAAAAGGAUGAAAGCGCAGAGGAGGCGGAAAUCGCUGAAAAAGCACCAGAACCAGAACCGGUCCCUAAAGCGGCAGCCAAGGAAGCGAAAGAAAAAGAAGCAGAGGAGCCUGUGGCAGAGGCUGAAAAAGAAGGUCAGUACAUAAUUAAAGUGCUGCUGUUGUCUCCAAAUAGAGAAACUUUUUUAUUUUAUUUUAUUUUAUUUAAAAAGAAGGUCAGAGCAAAAUUACAGUUUAAGUGCUACUACUGUCUCUAAAUACGCAUCUUAUUAAACAUUAAAUUUUUUAUCCUAUUUAAUUUUUUAUUUAAAAAAAUGCAAAUGCAAAUUUACACAAAUGUAAUAUAUGAAGUUUCAAUGGCAAAUCAAAGUUAUAGUCAUAUCUUAUAUAUCCAUAGUCAUAUCCUAUAAUAUCCUACUUUACGCCUUUCAAUGCCCCUGCUGAUCUUAAUAAUCAGAAAAGAGUAAAUGCAUUUUGUUAGCUAAUAAACUUUAGCACCAAAGGUCAGUGAGAAAACAGAGGAAGAAAGAAUGCAUGCUGUUUUAAUAACACAUAUCAUGUUCUCAGCUGCAGCGUUGAGUGAUAUCAAAAAUGGCAUUAGCAUUUAAGGUUAAAGACAUUUUGAAUGACACCACCCUGUAAUUCCCAGCGAGCAUGUAAAUAACAUUAUUCUAAGAGACUUUCUUGGAAUUCUUGCAGCCGCUUAAAACAUUUCCCUUCUUCUCAGCCAUUAUCUUCAGAUUUGUUGUUACUGUUAAUCUCCGUUUGUUGGCGAGGUUGUCAACCUGUUUUUAUUUUUAGCUGGCAUCCUUCUUGUUAAAAUAAUCCAAUCUCUUUACUGAUGGGGUGGUAUUUAAUCCAAAAUUUGUCACAUUAAUUCUGGCAAAAUUAUGCAAUCCAAAUUUAUAAUGAAGGUGUCAUAUUUGUAUCCUGUGAUUUACUACCACCACUCUAAAAAUUAAUUUCAGUAAUAACAUUUUGAUUUAUGGAUGUAAAAUCUGGAAUUGGCCUCUGAUGUCAUAAGCACAUUAUGGGUUUUAAAGAUAAUGACACUAAUAUAUUCAUCAGUAGAAGACAUUUAUCCUCGUGUUUAGCUGCCAAUGUGAUCUUUAUCACCCUGUGUUGAUUUAAACAAGGCUAAUCUAAUACAUCUCUCAUUAGUUUGUCUGUUUUUGAACAGUUUCACAUUAUUUUAUGUACAUCAUAAUAAUUUUCAGAUUUAGUAUAUUUCUUUGUGACUGAUUCGAUUUUGCUUUUUUUUCCGAAUAAGUCUGAGGGUGCCUCCAAAAAAAAAGAUUUAGAUUACCCAAAAGAUUGUUCUGUUAUUUUAACAAAAUGGUUAAAAUAGUCUAAUUAAUAAUGCAAUAAAAUAUAAAAAAUCAAAUAAUUGUGAGCCAACGGCAUUAUGGGACAUUUCAUGCCAAAAUCCACUUUAGAAAAUGUAUUUAUUCCUAAAUUCAAUUUUGAUUUGUUUAUUUCCACAUUUAGUAAAAUGACAAAUAUAUAUUUCCAAUUAGAUGUCUUUCAUGGUGCAUUUGACACAGUGUUUUAAUUUUGCCAGCAAACACUGUAUAUUUUUACAAUCAUUUUCAGCUGACUAAAUUUCUGGCAACAAAUUUGGAGAUAAUCAUACUAAUUUUAUAUUGUUUAUUGUGUUUUCCAUCUCCAGAAGCUGAGACUAAGAGAAGGGAACCCCUGCUUAAAGAGAGGAAAGGUCCAAUAGCCCUCUUAACAUCAGAGUUAUUGUUUUUUUUAUUGAAUAUUGUACUAAAAUUAACUUCAUAACUAAUAUUUGCUCAUCAGAAAAAGAGUCUCCAGUAAGAACAAGACUAGAAAAAGCAAAGAAAGGUGCAAAAGAAAAAGCACAAUGUGUGCCUGCUUUAUCAUCAAGCCCUGAAUGACAUUUUUCAAAUGACUUUAUAAUCUUUGAAAUUAAUAUUGACUCAAAUUUGCUUUCUGCUUCACAGCUCCAAAAGCAAAGACAGUGGCUGUCAACAUAUCCCAAAAGAGAAGUAAAUCCACAUGAUCUGACCAUACUUUACUUCUUUAAAGGGAUAGUUCAUCAAUAAAUGAAAGUCCUGUCAUCAUGUCUUCACACAUUUUGCUAAAUUUUCACAUGCUGUUUUCCAUAAAACACACAUUAAUGGCAAACAGGAACUUUCAAACUCAACCUAUAUGGUAAAAUAAUAAUAAUAAUAAUAAUAAUAAUAUUAAAUAAAAAACAUACAAGUUAUCCAUGUAAGUUGUGAGCAAUAUUACAGAUCUUCUGCAACUUUAAACAUGCACAUAUUCAAAUCACACAAGUUUGAACUACCAGUGAGGAAGAUUAAGAGUGUCAAACAACUUAUGAUUUCAGGAUACUUUAUGUCAGGCCCUGGUCAAAAUUUAUUUUCAUUACAUGAAAAAAAGAGUAGCAUGAACAUACUGCUUAACAUCUUCUUUUGUGUUCUACAGAAUAAAGAAAUCAUACAGGUUUUGAUCAAUGAGUAAAUGAUGACAGAUUUUUCAUUUUUGGCUGAACUUCUAAGUUGAUGUCAAAUUUAAAAAUUCCAUUUGAUUUAACUAUAUGACAGCAGUGCUCUCCCUUUCCCUUUUCCUAAUAACAGGAUCUCGAGCCUCAGAGGAUGUGGAAGUGUCAGCUGCUCCAGCUCUGAUACAGGAUCGUGAGUGCAACUCAUAUCCUUGUGACUUUUUAAUAUGUGUUACAUUCACAUUAUGCAAAAAGACAGCAUCAGUAACACACAAUCUACAGUCUGGUGUAACUCUGAAUCUUUCUUUUCACAAUCCGGUGAAACAGUUCCUAUGUGCCGACCAACACCUGUGUACUGCCCAGCGCCCCCUGGCUGGUAUGGUGAGUAAUGCAGCCACUCAUAAUUACUGUUGUGAGGUGUACUUUACACACAACACCUUUAAAUUUAAACAAACCAAAAAUAUUCUUUAAUGCCCUGAAAUCUACUUUAUCUUAUAUUUUACAGUGCAUCAUAUAGUUACAAGUAGCCCAUUACCACCAUCCGAUAUUCCAGGUAUUCAAAACUAUUUUAAUUUAAAUCCAUUCAUAAAAUAAUUAACAUAUUAUUGCUAACUAAAUAGUGUGUCUGUCAAUGAAAAAAAGAAAUAAUAAAAAAUAAAAAACGUGAAUUUCAGUGAAAGUGCAGUAUGUUUACUAGAAAUAUAUUUUUAACAAUAGUUACUGUGUUUUUCAGAAUCAGAAGUUCAAAUUUCAACAACUAAUCAAGCUCCUACUCUACUGAAAGGUGUUUAUCCUGCAAUAUAUUAUUAAUUUAAUUCUAUAUGACAAUAAUUUUGUUUUUGUAUUUUUCUUUUUCUUCUUCUUCUUCUUCUUUUUUUUAUUUUUUAUAUAUAUUUUUUUUUAUUUGAAUGAAUGUUUCCUUUGCUUAAGAACCAGAAGCUGCUUUGGCAAAACCAAAACAAGCCACUAAAAAGAAAGGUAUAUUAUUGUAGUAAUUUGUUUUGUGCCAAUAGUAAGAAUGUAUUAUAGUUUAUAGUUAUGUUAACAGACCCGAAGCAAGUAAUAACCUUUGACCUCCAAUUUCAGAACCACCAGUGCCUAAAGAAAAAGCCAAAGUAGCUCCUACAAAGAAGGGUGAGAUCCAAUUUAAAUUAUAUAAAAUGAAAGGCAAUAUCUGAGUUAAAAUAAUUUUGGAGAAGAUGCUGAUUUGUCAUUAUUAUAACAACUUUGUUAUACAUUUUGUAUUUGAAUUUGUGCAUUCCUAUUUGAUUUUAUACAUUUGUACUGUAUGUCUUCAAGACCCCACAGUUACUAAAGCCAAAGUAAAACCUUCAGUGGCAAAGAAAGGUAAGAAUAAUAGAAAAAUUAUGGCUAAAUUUAGAUUUUAGUUUCAUACUGAAUAAAUCCUUUUCUAUUAUUUAGAGCCAACAGCUGUGAAAGAGAAGUCUAAAAGGACAGGUAAUUAUGGUUCAGGAACUGACUUGGAAGUAGUUUUAUAUUAAUGAGCAGUAGCUUAUAAUUUCAUAUUUUACAGAGCGAAUGAUCUCUAAAGAAAAGGCUAAACCUACCUCUACUAAGAAAGGUACAUAUUGUUGUUGUAUAUUAUUUGUAUUAUUCCCUUCAAUACUCACAGAAAGAGGUUCAACUGUAUCCUAUUCUGGGUGUUUUGAAAUUGAUAACAUUUUUCACACUGGAUGAUAUUUGUUUGCUUCUAGUGCCUGCUAG
This 5447-nucleotide long non-coding RNA is filed under the name Carassius auratus (goldfish). Its description in RNAcentral is "lncRNA (ENSCARG00000055811.1)". The record is from RNAcentral. Lineage: Eukaryota; Metazoa; Chordata; Actinopteri; Cypriniformes; Cyprinidae.